AAACCGAACCGAAACCGAACCGAUAUCCGGAUUGAACACCUCUAGCUGCAAGCCUCCAACUGCUUAAACAAGUCCAUGUCUAGUAAACUUUCACAUGUCUUUGAAUAUUUUGUUAGAAAUGGGAUUGUUAAGUUAUGGUAUGUUGAAAUAUAUUGGGUAUAUUCAGUAUUUAUACGAUAGGAAACUAUAUUUUCAAUCUCAAUUAAUUAUGGAAAUUUGGCAAUGACUAGACAAACUAAUCAUUGUUUUCAUAGACAAGAGACAAAACAUUGCAAGGAAAACAAAAAAGAAUUCUCCAAGUUACUACAUUUCAUAUAUUUAAAAUAUUAAGAAAAAUGAAAAAAAAUUAUGUUGCUACCACUAUUGGUUGAAUGUCCACAUAAAACCAUAUACUAAAAGUUUUAUAUUAUUUUAAAAAAAAACAAAAAAAAUAUUUUAAUUAAACAUUUAAAUGAAAAGAGGCAUGCAUUUAGAACGGUCUAUAAAAAUAGGAACCUGUAUCAGUGUGUCAGUGAUCUCCCUCCCCAAUCGAAUAUUCUACCGAUCGCUUUACUUUCCCAAAUUCAAAAAUUUCCCGGAAAAUUUGUAAAGAAUCGUUACUUUCCCGAUUCAUUUCCCCAGUGAUAACCUAAGAUCUU
This 638-nucleotide long non-coding RNA is filed under the name Brassica rapa (field mustard). Its description in RNAcentral is "long non-coding RNA (BRAP_LNC005546)". The record is from RNAcentral. Lineage: Eukaryota; Viridiplantae; Streptophyta; Magnoliopsida; Brassicales; Brassicaceae.